Long non-coding RNA from Cryptomeria japonica (Japanese cedar), 780 nucleotides. RefSeq lists it as uncharacterized. The transcript has 2 exons. NCBI's taxonomy places the organism in Eukaryota, Viridiplantae, Streptophyta, Pinopsida, Cupressales, Cupressaceae. The record is from RefSeq and is a predicted model, not a curated record.
CUAGACGUCUUAAAAUCAGACAUCAAAUAGAAUGUAAAAAUAAAAAAGAUGUUUAUCUGAACUUCUGGACAUUAAAACCUUUGUGACAUCCAUUCAAUGCACCCUACCCUUCUCUACAGCUGUUGUUUUUGCCACCCCAUGGAGGCGUGCCAAGGUAUAUAAUAUGGAGUCGGUACACACGUGUACAUAAUAAUGUUAGAUAUUUGUCUUUCCUAAAUGGACUAGGAAAUUCCGAUAAAACCUAAUCAUCUCUAGGUUAUUUCUCGACCUUCAAGCCGAAAGCGGGUUACAGAGUAGCUAGCGAUGGAAAUUGAUGGCUAUAAUUUUGUUAAAAUGUCCUUGUACACACUUCCGAAGCCUCCUCCCUCCUGCUCUUUUAUUGCCCUUUAAUGUAUCUGUCCUUUGAUUUAAGGACAAAUUUUCUAUCAAAAUUUUGAGGGCAAUGAAAAACUUCAGACGAGGAUGCUUCGAAGUGUGUACAAAGACAUUUUGACAGAAUCCACCGGAAAAGAAAAAUCUGGGUAUCAUUCAAAUGAUGUGAAAACCUUUCAAUCAUCGGCAGACACUGGAUGCCAUCUGUUUGAUACAGCGCCUGAAUGAAAUGCAGCAGAAUGGUAAAGUUCUGUAACAAAAGGGAUAUGGAUGAUCUUAAAACAAUGGUGAUUUUUGUUUGCAACUUUACUGGAAAGGUACAAGAAAAUUUGCUCUCUUUCUCAGAUUUUAUUCUAACUGAAAGCAUGUCUCCGAAGUUUGAUCAUUGAAAAUAAACUUUUGUUUCAA